UAGAGCAGAGGAUUGAAAAUCCUCGUGUCGGUGGUUCGAUUCCGCCUCGAGGCA
This 54-nucleotide transfer RNA is filed under the name Vibrio ezurae NBRC 102218. It matches the Rfam family "tRNA", at positions 19 to 71 of the family's 71-position model. From Rfam's summary of the family: Transfer RNA (tRNA) molecules are approximately 80 nucleotides in length. Their secondary structure includes four short double-helical elements and three loops (D, anti-codon, and T loops). The record is from Rfam by way of RNAcentral. Lineage: Bacteria; Pseudomonadati; Pseudomonadota; Gammaproteobacteria; Vibrionales; Vibrionaceae.